UAAAAAAUUUGUAAUAUAUACAUAUAUUGAAGCUUUAUCGAACGGUACACGAGCGAGCUGACACCAUGCGACACUCCUAAAAUUUAAAAUAGUUCUGUAUAUAAGAUAUAAUAAGACUAAACCCUUUAUUCCAUCUAUAUUAUUUUAAACGGUGACCAGACCCAAAUAUUGAGCAUGUUAUGACUAAAAUAGUUCUAGGAUAGAUUGUUCUCAAAAAGCACUAGUCGAAAGUAUGAGAUGAGUCUCAGUUAAGUUAGAAUCAUAUAGCAAAUUUAGUGCAGCUUUAUAUAUAAUAAUAUAAUAAUAAGGUUAAACCUUUUUAUCCGACUAUAGUAUUUUGGACAGUAACGAACUAGAAUAGUUCUAAAACAUGCAACUCUUAAAGCUUCGUUUGAUUCAGAUAUAAGUAAGAACUAGCUAUUACAGGGAUAGGUACACGUAUGAGGAUAAGAAAAAUAGCAUUUGAAUGAAAAUUGGAUUAUUUCUGAAGAUAAGAAAAAUAGCGUUUGAAUAGAUAAUAUAGAAUAAAAAAAAUAGUGAUAGUUAUAUAUAAAAAACGAAGAUGUUGGUAGGGAUAAUUAUACCAGCUUAUUUUAGUUUGCGUAUAAAAAGAAUAAGAAGUUAUUCCUCUCCUUAUCUCCGAUCCAAACGGUGCCUUAUAGAACACAUUAUGCACGAGCUAAAUCUCAAGUGGAAAAAUUCAGCUCUUGUUCGGGUUGAGCUUAUUCGCACCUGCCGUGGGCGACUUGCCACCCGAGCCGCCGCGUCCGCGAUGCGAGGCCGCGGCGACGCGUGGCGCUAAUCCUCUUGCUGACGUGGAAUCUCCUGUGGGCCCUAUCCCCCCUCCUCUCUCUCUCUCUC
Molecule: long non-coding RNA, 861 nt
Filed under: Ananas comosus (pineapple)
Lineage: Eukaryota; Viridiplantae; Streptophyta; Magnoliopsida; Poales; Bromeliaceae
Description: long non-coding RNA (ACOM_LNC001305)
Source: RNAcentral